Molecule: ribosomal RNA, 242 nt
Filed under: Arxiozyma telluris
Lineage: Eukaryota; Fungi; Ascomycota; Saccharomycetes; Saccharomycetales; Saccharomycetaceae
Description: Kazachstania telluris ribosomal RNA
Source: RNAcentral
CCUUCUCAAACAGCGAUGUUUGGUUGUGAGUGAUACUCGGACGAGUUAGCUUGAAAAUGCUGGCCGGUGGCUGCGGUGGCCGGGGCUUCCUAUCCUGCUGCGACAGGGGAGCUCUGCCGGACGUCUUCGUACUAGGUUCUGCCAAUUCGGGGACAACUGGCGGGGGUUUCUGUGGCGGGAGCUACGGGGGGCCCGUUGACGGCUGCGGACAGACAGCAGUGGCGAACAGUGUUCUUUUAAGU